Molecule: ribosomal RNA, 323 nt
Filed under: uncultured bacterium
Lineage: Bacteria
Description: bacterial SSU rRNA
Rfam family: Bacterial small subunit ribosomal RNA
Source: RNAcentral
GUUGAACGCUGGCGGCAUGCCUUACACAUGCAAGUCGAACGGCAGCACGGGGGCAACCCUGGUGGCGAGUGGCGAACGGGGUGAGUAAUAUAUCGGAACGUACCCCUGGAGUGGGGGAUAACGUAGCGAAAGUUACGCUAAUACCGCAUACGAUCUAAGGAUGAAAGUGGGGGGAUCGCAAGACCUCAUGCUCCUGGAGCGGCCGAUAUCUGAUUAGCUAGUUGGUGGGGUAAAGGCCUACCAAGGCAUCGAUCAGUAGCUGGUCUGAGAGGACGACCAGCCACACUGGGACGUGAGACACGGCCCAGACUCCUACGGGAGGC